This is an RNA transcript of Oncorhynchus tshawytscha (Chinook salmon), 3133 nucleotides long. It is a transcript of the gene named disabled homolog 2, with no coding region annotated. NCBI's taxonomy places the organism in Eukaryota, Metazoa, Chordata, Actinopteri, Salmoniformes, Salmonidae. The transcript has 16 exons. The record is from RefSeq and is a predicted model, not a curated record.
GUUGCAUGAUCCUGCUGCUGUGGGGGAGUAGCCAAUUCACUGCAUAGCGGCACAUCUCAGCGGUAACAUCUGAUUCCAACAAGUCUUUGAAAAGCUGCGUUUGAUUUAACCCUCAUAGCGGACAGGAGACGUGUCGACGGGGAAAGUAGUAUUCGCAUGACAUUCAGAACGCUGGAAGACAAACCUCGAAUAUGAAGAAUUCUGUCUGGAGCGCUUGUUAACGGCACAUAACUGAGCAUUUGCAAGUGCUGAACCUCUUUGCUGAGUUAACCCCUCCCCCUGCCUGAGCGACCGGAGCUGCAGCCUCAUCAGGUUUACCCGUUCUGUCUGCCUGUCUCAACUCUCGUAAGGCUGGCCCCCCAACCCACCAUGUCUACGGAAGUGGCGAGCAAUACACCUGUCGUCCCAGCCGACCCCUCCAGCACUCCCUCCCCCACAACAAGCAUCCCCACCACCCCUUCCGCAGCACCAGCCAAGACCCCCUUCAAGAAAGAGAAGAAGAAAGCUCCAGAGAAGACUGAUGAGUACCUGCUGUCCCGGUUCCAGGGUGAUGGUGUGAGGUACAGGGCCAAGCUGAUUGGCAUCGAUGAUGUCCCAGAGGCCCGAGGGGACAAGAUGAGCCAGGACUCCAUGAUGAAACUCAAGGGCUUGGCAAUAGCCUCUCGGUCACAGGGCAAACACAAGCAGAGGAUCUGGGUCAACAUAUCCAUGUCGGGCAUCAAGAUCAUUGAUGAGAAAACAGGGGUAAUAGAACAUGAGCACAUGGUGAAUAAGAUCUCGUUCAUCGCCAGAGACGUAACAGAUAACAGGGCCUUUGGUUACGUGUGUGGGGCCGAGGGACAGCACCAGUUUUUCGCCAUAAAGACUGGCCAGCAGGCAGAGCCCCUGGUCAUUGACUUGAAGGAUCUGUUCCAGGUCAUCUUCAACAUGAAGAAAGAGUCUGAGGCCUCACAGAAGGAUCAGCGCAAUAACGCAACAGUUGAGAAUGGUGGCAACACCUUGCUCAGUAUCGAUGGCCAGGCAGGCACUGCCAAAGAGGUGCAACAGCUGGAUCUGUUUGGAGACAUGUCCACACCGCCAGACAUCCAUUCUCCUACAGAGACUAAUGAUAUUCUAUUGCUGGAUCUGUCCGCUGAGGUUGACAGCAAUCAGAACGGUAUAAAAGGAAAUCCCUUCACUUCCUACGCCUCUAACCUUUGGGGCACCCCCCAAACAGAGAACCCCUUCUCCUCCGCGUUUGGCUUCUUUCCAACCCCAGACUCUGACCCUUUCAGCGACGACCCCCUUGCCAAAUCAGCACCCCCCAAUUCUCAGAUCUCAGCACCCUCCACCAAUCACAGCCAAGAGAGCUCUGUUCACAUCUUGGGCAGGCCAGUCAUGAAUGGCAAUGGUCUUAAUGGAGACUCUGACCACUCCGGUCAGCAGUUGAACGGGUUGUCCAAUAAGAACAUGAUCCUGCCUCUCAGUAAUUGCCAGUGGCCACUCGGUGGCGGUAUGUCAGAGUGCAGGGUCCCUGUUCUAAUCCAGAAUGGUUUGGGACCUGUGGCCUCUCCACAGAACCCCUUUCUCGGCAUAUCUGGGGAAAUCCCGCCCCUCUGUAAUGGUGUGCUGUUCGAUCCAAAAGAAAACACACCCAUGGGUCAUGGCAAGGACAGUUCGGUAGUGAUAAGCCUCCCUCCACAGAACACUAAGGCUGGACGAGGUCGGAGGAGUGCCAAGUGUCCUCCUGCUGACGACCUGUUUGGGGCUGACAUGUUUGCUGCUCCCAGUCAGCCUUACAGCUCGUCUGCCUCCAAUGACCUCUUCAGUCCCACCACCACCUCCAUGGCAGCUCUCGGAGCGUUGCAGUUGGGUCCCCCUUCAGUCACCAUCCCUCGGACCGCCCCAUCACCAUGGGGAGCCCCAGCCUCUUCCAUGUUCACCAUGCCAGGAGGGGUAACACUCCCCAACCCCCAGCCCACCUUCCCCCAGCCAUCUGCCUUCAGUGCCCUGCCCAUACCUCCAGCCCCCUGGGGCCAGCAGGCGCCAUCCCCUUAUGGGGCCCCGCCAGUCAGCCAGGCUUGGGGACAGCCUGCACCUGCAGGGCCCAUGGGUGCACCAGGCUGGGGCCAGCCUCCUAUGGCUAACCUCUUCCAGCCCGAGCCUUACACCAUGAUGGGAGGCCCUCCACAGGGUAUGCCGCAGGGUCCACCACGGCCCCCACCCCGGCCACCAGUAAAGGAGGCCCCAGCUAAGGUGGAACCCAGUGCCUUCACAGCUCUGGACCCACUGGGAGGGGAGAAGGAGAAGAAGAGUGGGAAGGACAUGUUCAAGGACUUCCAGAUUGCCAAGCCUCCAGCCAUCCCAGCAAGGAAAGGGGAGCAGAUACCCGGGUCUGCUGCCCCAAGCACCAAUGGGGAUGGGGUGUUUGCCCAGUACUUCUCCAGCAAAGUGGGCGUGCCCCAGGAAAUUGCGGAUCAUGACGACUUUGAAAUUCAGAGUCGGAUUUCAGCUAUUGCCAAUGACCCACCCAAACCAGCCCCACUGCACUCUGCACCCAUGAUAUCUCUUGCAGUGGUCCCUGGGCCAGGGCUCCUGGAUGCAUUUGCCCCUACUCCAGCCACAUUCCUUGCUCCAGCAGCAGCAGGUCUCAACCAGAACCUAUUUGAUGACGUAUUUGGCUCUGCUACUCCUAAUGCCUUUGGAGCACCACUUCUAGCUACGUUCUCAUUGGAAUGUGAUUCAAAACGAGGCAACGGUGUGCUUUAGGACCAUUCAUCGGACCACAGGUUGCUCGGAUCCCUUCGGAGACCCCUUUGCCUGAGUGACACCCUGCCCAUCUUCCACAUUCAGGUUUGCAGUGGUCCAGAGAAGAAGCAGCGAUGCUCUAUGACCAAAUGUCUUCAGAACCAGCUACUACAAGCGCCAGACAAUCCUACACAAUUACAACUUCUAACCCCUUGCCCACACUGAAUAACUGCCUUGAUGUCCAUUACAUAGCCCCUCGUUUACCCCCCCAAAAUGCCUUGUUGUGUUUCGGUUCCAAUCUCAUAGCUUUUUAGUACCACUGAAUGAAAUGUAUUGUAAUAAAGUGACAUAAUGUGUGAUGGAAGGGAAGGCCCUGGAAAUGCUCUAUUAAACACUGAAUAAUGUA